GCGGCCUAUCAGCUUGUUGGUGAGGUAAUGGCUCACCAAGGCGACGACGGGUAGCCGGCCUGAGAGGGCGACCGGCCACACUGGGACUGAGACACGGCCCAGACUCCUACGGGAGGCAGCAGUGGGGAAUAUUGGGCAAUGGAGGGAACUCUGACCCAGCGACGCCGCGUGCGGGAUGAAGGCCUUCGGGUUGUAAACCGCUUUCAGCAAGGAAGAAGCGAAAGUGACGGUACUUGCAGAAGAAGCACCGGCUAACUAUGUGCCAGCAGCCGCGGUAAUACAUAGGGUGCAAGCGUUGUCCGGAAUUAUUGGGCGUAAAGAGCUCGUAGGUCGUUUGUCGCGUCGAUUGUGAAAAUCUGAGGCUCAACCUCAGACCUGCAGUCGAUACGGGCAAACUAGAGUGUGGUAGGGGAGACUGGAAUUCCU
This 426-nucleotide ribosomal RNA is filed under the name uncultured Actinomycetes bacterium. RNAcentral describes it as "bacterial SSU rRNA". It matches the Rfam family "Bacterial small subunit ribosomal RNA", at positions 233 to 671 of the family's 1533-position model. The record is from RNAcentral. Lineage: Bacteria; Bacillati; Actinomycetota; Actinomycetes.